This is a long non-coding RNA of Nicotiana tabacum (common tobacco), 1223 nucleotides long. RefSeq lists it as uncharacterized. The record is from RefSeq and is a predicted model, not a curated record. NCBI's taxonomy places the organism in Eukaryota, Viridiplantae, Streptophyta, Magnoliopsida, Solanales, Solanaceae.
UUUUACCCUUAAUGAGAAACUUUUAUUUAGUGGAUUAAUUCUGAUAAGUGAAUUCCACCGUCUGUCAUUGGAAAACAAUCUCACAUUAUGUGUUUUUUUAAUUGCAUUAUUACAUCACUAAAAUACCAAAAAUACAUUAGUCACUUUACAUGCAUUGUUAGUUAAUUAAAUAGUCAAUUGUUAAAUUAAAAUAGGUAAGUAGGUUAAUUUUGCAAAUUAGUUUGAAUUAGGUGUGUUAAAUAAAAAUGGUUAAAAUUGAAAGUUAAAGGGAAGGAAGAAAGAAAGGAAAAUGGGUUGCUAUGUUGACAUUCCAAUUGGGCCAAACACUUCAGCAGCUCAGUCUAUAAAAUCCACGGCCAAUUCACCCCAGACCCGGUCCACUUCGCCUGGUCUCCAAAAGACUACCAAACGACCCCGUUUUGGACCAGGGCAAUCUCAGCCAUCCUUCAAACCCCAUCCAACGGCCCUGAAUUAACCCCCAUUUUAUAUAAAACUCUCUUAAACCAGCCCCGCCAAAGACUCUCUCACACGCCCAAACGCCUCUCAUCUAUCCUCACUGUGUAUCAGCCGUUUGCCGCCGCCGAAAAUCGUCCACGGCGGCGGCCAACCUCUAAACAUCCCCAAAAUUUCAAAUACAACCUCCUCCUCCUCCUCUUUCACAAUCUCUAGCUAUUUUCUUCUAAAAACCCCUUAAGCAUCACGAAUAGUAGAUCUAAGAAGGCCGGAAAAAACCCUAAAUCUGUCCUUUUCUGAUUUCUCCUCAAUCUCGGCCCGUUUGAACUCGAAACCUACAUCAAUUGAUUGCUCUUGAUUAGAGCGAUCAAUUGAUGUUAGUAUUGGUUCAUUUCACGGCCACCAGAAUCUGGUCCCCCAUAUUGCUUCGAUUGUUUUCUCCGACUCGUUGGAUUUUCUGUGUUAAACGCCGUCUGAAUUAGAAGUAUGCACAGCUGUUUCUCUGGGCUAAUUGAAGCAGCCACUUAUGGAGGGUUUCAAAUCACAAUUUGAUGUACUAAUUUAGCUUUGUAAUUCUGAAAAUGAUCAGUGUUGAUGACUGAGAAUAGUUUAUAGUUAUUUUCAUUUGGUAAUAAUGUGUGUGAGUUAUAUGAAAAAUAAUGGAGUUUUAGAUGGCAUGAAAACUCGUUGGUUUGAACAGUAGUUAAUAUCAAAAUUCUUUUUAAUUUCAUGUAAUAAUGAGUUAACAAAAGGAUUUCGAGCUUUGAUAA